UGUUGCCGAGGAUGGUCUUGCUGAUGGCGGAGCCCAGGGGGAAGUCUCUGCUCAUCUGGUGAAUGGCGAUCUUGGCGCCCACGACGCGGCUGCCACUGCUGUCCGACACAUGAACAAAAUUUCGUGCAACAUGAUGGUACCAGUUCGAUGCGGUCCUCCCUGUGCUGGCUCCAUUCUUCAGGCGAAAAAGGCUGCAGAGAGGCGCUCCUGAUUGAGACCAUUGAGGCAUUUGGGCUUGCAGUCUACAGAGAACAGAAAAUAUUGCAUCACGAAUUCUCCGAGCAGUACAACUUUGCAAUCAAUUAUUUUUAACUUUCCCGCUGGCAUGAGACAAUAUGCUUAGCAUCUUGCCACUACUAGAAUGUGUUGGCAAUAAUUUAUUGUGCACAUGCAUCGCCAAGUCUAACCUGGAAGUAGAGGACAGAGGUUUGUGACGCCGAGCUGAGAGUGAAGCCGCCCUUGAGGAAGGACCAGCAGUCGUUUCGGACCAGAGCUGUGCCCAGGCACUGGGAUGCGCCGUUGUCUAGUGACAAGAUCUUCGCCUUCACAUGGACUGUUCCUGGCCCAUCAAAUUUUACCCAGCCUGAAGAAAAUCAGUCAGGAAGUUUAACAAUUCAGUUUUGCUAGUUCUUGGUCGAUCUGGAAAUCAAGUUACACAGUUA
Lolium perenne is the source of this 662-nucleotide non-coding RNA. The record is from RefSeq and is a predicted model, not a curated record. Lineage: Eukaryota; Viridiplantae; Streptophyta; Magnoliopsida; Poales; Poaceae.